CGUUCCGGAGCCGCCAUGUCGUCCGACUUCGAAGGUUACGAGCAGGACUUCGCGGUGCUCACUGCAGAGAUCACCAGCAAGAUUGCGAGGGUCCCACGACUCCCGCCUGACUGUCAACUAUGUGAAGGUGGGAGCUGUGUCUGAUUUCCUUGGCGUUUACUUAUUAGGGGCUCAGGAAAAUAAGUGAAUGAGCAGGGAUAUUUGCUUGAAGCCAGGAUCUCUGAACUUAUACCCCACUCAUCUCCUGAAGUCCCCAGUUAGUUCUGGAGGAGAUGGAUGAUGUCUUAAAGAGGUUUAUGAGUCCAAGUAAGGGAACAAGAGGAGAGAACCAAGGUAGUAUAUACCACCAAGCUCUGCUGCCUCAGAGAUUUUUGUGUCGAAAGUGGCUGAUGGCCUCAUCUCUUCAUGAUACAUCACCUCGCCUCUUCUCUUCAGUUCUGCUUUUCUCCACUGCCGGAGAUCGUCUUGAUUUUUGUUAUUGUUGGAGACUACUUCCUUUGAAUUGAGUCCCAGAGCCUCAGAGUAUCAGGACUUGUGGUUCCAGUUAGAGUUUUACUCAUUUUUAAUUGUAAUUGUUUUAGCAGUAGAAACAUUUCUUUGGGUUAUUAGUUUUUGUAUUGGGAAGCUGUUUUACAAGGUAACAAAAUCAUCCUUGGAUGCAAAGUUGUAAAUUUCCAAGAAAACAGAUCGUGUUACAAUUUUUUUCUUGCCUUUAUAUUUUAAUGUGACAAUUCUUAACACAUAGAAGGAAACUUUUUGAAUUCAGUACCUUAAAAAUAAAACUGGGCAGAGCCCGGUGGCUCAUGCCUAUAAUCCCAAAACUUUGGGAGGCCGAGGCAGACGGAUCACCUGAGGUCGGGAGUUUGAGACCAGCCUGGCCAACAUGGAGAAACCCUGUCUCUACUAAAAAUACAAAACUAGCUGGGCGUGGUGGCACAUGCCUGUAACUCCAGCUGCUCAGGAGGCUGAGGCAGGAGAAUCGCUUGAACCUGGGAGGUGGAGGUUGCGAUGAGCUGAGAUUGCGCCAUUGCACUCCAGCCUGGGCGACAAGAGCGAAACUGUCUCAAUAAAUAAAUAAAUUAAAAAAAAACUAUGUCUUUCCUUAGCUGUAGUAUUAUAUAAGGCCCAAACACAGGAGCUUCAUUACAAUUGAAAGGAGACUGCAUUGCUGGCUCUGGAAGAAUGCUUACUGACUUGUAUUAUUGAAUAAUCAUAAUUCUUUUUUCUUUAUGAGAUGGGGUCUUGCUGUAUCGCCCACGUUGGAGUGUAAUGGCGCAAUCUCAGCUCAUUGCAACCUCUCCCUCACGGCUCAAGUCUACUCCCACCUCAGCCUCCCGAGUAGCUGGGACUACUCAAGCCACUGUGCCCGGCUGAUUUUUUUUUUUUGUAGAGAUGGGGUUUUGCCAUGUUGCCCAGGCUUGUCUCAAACUCCUGGGCUCACGCAAUCCACCCACUUGGGCCUCCCAAAGUGCUGGGAUUACAGGCGUGAGCCACCGCACCUGGCCUGAUCAUAAUUCUUAAAAACGCAGUAGUUGCCCUCUUAAUAAUGACUUGUGCUUGCCCCUUUUUAAAUCUAUUUCCAAUUGAUGUAUAGAAAAAGAUGAAAAAUAUAUCCAUGUAGUUAUGAAUUUCAGAUGUAUGUCUGUAGAUGAACAGACAUUAAUAUAUAUAACCAUGGCAAAAAUAGUUUGAUGACAAGUAAUUAUAAUCUCUCUCUCUGGCCAUCAUUGGCGAGUGCAGUGUUGAGCUAAAAGUGACCCAGAGGAGGUGAACUAUAAUUUACUUGAGUUAAGAAGGAUAAAAAUUGGAGCAAACUUUCCAGCCAAAGCAGUUAAUUCCCCCAACAUAGUAACUUACUUAAAUUCAAGUAGAGUGGGUAGAUCUAUUGAAAUGAACUUUACUCUGCUGUGCAUGUUACAAUGUAUUAAAGUAUUGCUUCCAAAGAGAACAGAAGAGUGAACAUUUAAAAAUUUUAUUUUAAGAAAGAAAUCUGAUUACUCUGUGAUAUUUUUUAAACAAUAAAG
RNAcentral lists this long non-coding RNA (2024 nucleotides) under Homo sapiens (human). Its description in RNAcentral is "HSALNT0168259". Lineage: Eukaryota; Metazoa; Chordata; Mammalia; Primates; Hominidae. The record is from RNAcentral.